RNAcentral lists this transfer RNA (121 nucleotides) under Armillaria borealis. It matches the Rfam family "tRNA". Rfam says of the family: Transfer RNA (tRNA) molecules are approximately 80 nucleotides in length. Their secondary structure includes four short double-helical elements and three loops (D, anti-codon, and T loops). Further hydrogen bonds mediate the characteristic L-shaped molecular structure. tRNAs have two regions of fundamental functional importance: the anti-codon, which is responsible for specific mRNA codon recognition, and the 3' end, to which the tRNAs corresponding amino acid is attached (by aminoacyl-tRNA synthetases). tRNAs cope with the degeneracy of the genetic code in two manners: having more than one tRNA (with a specific anti-codon) for a particular amino acid; and 'wobble' base-pairing, i.e. permitting non-standard base-pairing at the 3rd anti-codon position. The record is from Rfam by way of RNAcentral. Lineage: Eukaryota; Fungi; Basidiomycota; Agaricomycetes; Agaricales; Physalacriaceae.
GCCCGCCUAGCUCAAUCGGAUAGAGCGUCAGACUUUUAACCUUAACUGAGUAAGCUAGCGAGGGAAUCAGCAUAUACUUGAUCAAAUCUGAAGGCUGCGAGUUCGACCCUCGCGGUGGGCU